This 492-nucleotide ribosomal RNA is filed under the name uncultured bacterium. Its description in RNAcentral is "partial 16S ribosomal RNA". It matches the Rfam family "Bacterial small subunit ribosomal RNA", at positions 29 to 507 of the family's 1533-position model. The record is from RNAcentral.
AGUGAACGCUGGCGGUAGGCCUAACACAUGCAAGUCGAACGGCAGCACAGUAAGAGCUUGCUCUUACGGGUGGCGAGUGGCGGACGGGUGAGGAAUACGUCGGAAUCUACUUUUUCGUGGGGGAUAACGUAGGGAAACUUACGCUAAUACCGCAUACGACCUACGGGUGAAAGCAGGGGAUCUUCGGACCUUGCGCGAUUGAAUGAGCCGAUGUCGGAUUAGCUAGUUGGCGGGGUAAAGGCCCACCAAGGCGACGAUCCGUAGCUGGUCUGAGAGGAUGAUCUGCCACACUGGAACUGAGACACGGUCCAGACUCCUACGGGAGGCAGCAGUGGGGAAUAUUGGACAAUGGGCGCAAGCCUGAUCCAGCCAUACCGCGUGGGUGAAGAAGGCCUUCGGGUUGUAAAGCCCUUUUGUUGGGAAAGAAAAGCAGCAGGUUAAUACCCCGCUGUUCUGACGGUACCCAAAGAAUAAGCACCGGCUAACUUCGUG